GACGAACGCUGGCGGCGUGCUUAACACAUGCAAGUCGAGCGGUAAGGCCCUUUCGGGGGUACACGAGCGGCGAACGGGUGAGUAACACGUGGGUGACCUGCCCUCAGCUCUGGGAUAAGCCUGGGAAACUGGGUCUAAUACUGGAUAUAGACUCCACGGUGCAUGUCGUGGGGUGGAAAGCCUUGUGCGGCUGAGGAUGGGCCCGCGGCCUAUCAGCUUGUUGGUGGGGUGANGGCCU
Molecule: ribosomal RNA, 238 nt
Filed under: uncultured bacterium
Lineage: Bacteria
Description: partial 16S ribosomal RNA
Rfam family: Bacterial small subunit ribosomal RNA
Source: RNAcentral